Triticum urartu is the source of this 1156-nucleotide non-coding RNA. Lineage: Eukaryota; Viridiplantae; Streptophyta; Magnoliopsida; Poales; Poaceae. The record is from RefSeq and is a predicted model, not a curated record.
UGAUGUAGAGCCGUCAGGUGACUGUUCCAAAACGGAAACAAAAUUGCUUCGUAUCCGUUAAGCUGGUUCAAAAGUGCGAGUCCUGGGGCUUUUUGAACUUGCGAGUGUGUCUCAUAUUCCAAGAUUAAAUAACAAGCCCGAAACAGCAGUCAGAAAGGGGCGCCGGAGAAUAUAGUUGCUUUGCAUCUGAUCUUGAGCUAGAUUUCUCCGGUCAGCUAGCCAGCGACGGCGCGACCCGAACCGUCGAUCCCUUGCACCAACUCCUGCAUGGCCGGCUAACUUCUCGAUCACUGUACGUGCGUACCAUGUCGAUCGAUCACUAGCUAGUGUGUGUGUGUGUGUGUGUGUGUGUGUGUGUGUGUGUGUGUUUCAAUCUGCUCAACAAACCUAGGCCAUGGAUUCACACUUUGGAUUUGUCAAGCUCGUAAAGGCACGUGCUGUUGAGUCACUCCGAAUCGAAUCCGGCUAAUGGUCGAUCCACAACCGCGUGGCGUGGUCUGAAAAGGUGGGGAGAGAACCUUGUGUACUAUCUACUAUGCUCUAUCUACGUGCUCUCCGCGUGCCUGUUGCGACGGUGGGAGUGGCCAGCAGCUAGCCGGCGGUGUGUAUAUAUAGAUAGGACCUUGGGGCGUCGAGACGAGCAGAGAGGCACCCAUCAGCAUCCAGCAGAAACCAUCGAUCGAUCGAUCGCCGGACACAGCAUCGAUUCUCCUCGCACACGCACAUACGGAUUCAGUCGAUCGAUAGAUAUACGUGAUGGAGAAUGAGAGGAACAACCAGGCUCCACCCCUACCCCCAGGCUACUACCCAUCCGCGGCUGCGGAGCAACGUCAAGGCGGCGGCGAAAAGGGAUUCAUCCAAGGAUGCCUGGCCGCGCUCUGCUGCUGCUGGAUCUGCGACAUGUGCUGCGACUAACUCGCCGGUCGCUGCCGGCACAAGACGUUGGUGCUAGUAUAGACCUAUGAAGAGCAUACACACAGAGAGACUCGUUGCUUAGUUAGUGUUUGUUUGUUGUUUUAGGUAGUGCAAAAAAUACCCCGCAAAAAAAAGGUAGUGCAGAAAAUAACCGAGAACGCAUGCGUGAGUGGUGUCCAUGUAACUUACCGUGCGUAUCGAUAAUUCUACACCUACGAAAGUUCUACGUAGGGUUACGUAA